RNAcentral lists this non-coding RNA (27 nucleotides) under Homo sapiens (human). The record is from RNAcentral. Lineage: Eukaryota; Metazoa; Chordata; Mammalia; Primates; Hominidae.
UGACAGUGCCCUGUGAACAUGCCAAUU